Molecule: unclassified non-coding RNA, 251 nt
Filed under: uncultured fungus
Lineage: Eukaryota; Fungi
Description: partial contains small subunit ribosomal RNA, internal transcribed spacer 1, and 5.8S ribosomal RNA
Rfam family: Eukaryotic small subunit ribosomal RNA (bases 1-73)
Source: RNAcentral
UCAAACUUGGUCAUUUAGAGGAAGUAAAAGUCGUAACAAGGUUUCCGUAGGUGAACCUGCGGAAGGAUCAUUAGUGUAAGGUGCAAGCCUUAACAAGAUAGUAACCCUGUCUUUUUAGUACUUUGUUUCCUCGGUAGGUAAGCCUACCAAGAGGAGAUAUUAACAUCUGAAAACAAUAUUGUAACUGAUUAUUAAAUAUAAAAACUUUCAACAACGGAUCUCUUGGUUCUGGCAUCGAUGAAGAACGCAGC